RNAcentral lists this ribosomal RNA (507 nucleotides) under uncultured bacterium. Its description in RNAcentral is "partial 16S ribosomal RNA". It matches the Rfam family "Bacterial small subunit ribosomal RNA", at positions 28 to 507 of the family's 1533-position model. The record is from RNAcentral.
GACGAACGCUGGCGGCGUGCCUAAUACAUGCAAGUCGAACGCAUUUUCUUUCACCGUAGCUUGCUACACCGACAGAAAAUGAGUGGCGAACGGGUGAGUAACACGUUGGUAACCUGCCCAUCAGCGGGGGAUAACACUUGGAAACAGGUGCUAAUACCGCAUAAUUCCAUUUACCGCAUGGUAAAUGGAUGAAAGGCGCUUUUGCGUCACUGAUGGAUGGACCCGCGGUGCAUUAGCUAGUUGGUGGGGUAACGGCCUACCAAGGCUGCGAUGCAUAGCCGACCUGAGAGGGUGAUCGGCCACACUGGGACUGAGACACGGCCCAGACUCCUACGGGAGGCAGCAGUAGGGAAUCUUCGGCAAUGGACGCAAGUCUGACCGAGCAACGCCGCGUGAGUGAAGAAGGUUUUCGGAUCGUAAAACUCUGUUGUUAGAGAAGAACAAGGAUGAGAGUGGAAAGUUCAUCCCUUGACGGUAUCUAACCAGAAAGCCACGGCUAACUACGUG